Molecule: ribosomal RNA, 473 nt
Filed under: Chelidura pyrenaica
Lineage: Eukaryota; Metazoa; Arthropoda; Insecta; Dermaptera; Forficulidae
Description: partial 16S ribosomal RNA
Source: RNAcentral
AAAAUAUCCAGCUUGUCUGGAUUAGGAACUCUAGGACGAGGGUUUUAAUUAAAAUUAGGUUGUAGCUCCAGUGUUAGAAAAAACAGCUAUUCUUGAGAAUUUUUUUUAAUGCGACAAUAGGGACUCCAUGAAAAGAGAAAAUGAGUUGUAUAUUUUAAACCGAGGAAAUGGAUGUAUAAACAUAAGAGAAAUCUCUCUUCGAUUUAGAGAAGAGAAUGGCGGGGUCGGUUUGUUUCAUAAAUAUAAUCAGUUCUUUAAUUAAAAGAAUUUUUUUUAUUAUAUUGAAAGAAUUGAAACAUUUUUAGAUGUCCCAGAAGAGCAGAUUAUUCUUUUAAAAACGGAAAAUUGUUUUUUCAAUUUAAGAUUUAAAACACUUUCUCUGUCUAAUUUAAAGUACUCCAGAAAGUAAGGUCGAGGAUUAAUUCUUUGCUCACUAAUACGAUGGAAACGUGCCAGUUCUAUGGCGCCGUGAA